This 250-nucleotide ribosomal RNA is filed under the name uncultured bacterium. RNAcentral describes it as "partial 16S ribosomal RNA". It matches the Rfam family "Bacterial small subunit ribosomal RNA", at positions 808 to 1058 of the family's 1533-position model. The record is from RNAcentral.
GUUGGGCACUAGGUGUGGGGAACAUUCCACGUUUUCCGCGCCGUAGCUAACGCAUUAAGUGCCCCGCCUGGGGAGUACGGCCGCAAGGCUAAAACUCAAAGGAAUUGACGGGGGCCCGCACAAGCGGCGGAGCAUGCGGAUUAAUUCGAUGCAACGCGAAGAACCUUACCAAGGCUUGACAUGCACCGGACGACUCCAGAGAUGGGGUUUUCUUCGGACUGGUGCACAGGUGGUGCAUGGCUGUCGUCAG